AACGAACGCUGGCGGCAUGCCUAACACAUGCAAGUCGAACGAGACCUUCGGGUCUAGUGGCGCACGGGUGCGUAACGCGUGGGAACCUGCCCUUAGGUUCGGAAUAACUCCCCGAAAGGGGUCCUAAUACCGGAUAAUGUCUUCGGACCAAAGAUUUAUCGCCUUUGGAUGGGCCCGCGUUGGAUUAGCUAGUUGGUAGGGUAAAAGCCUACCAAGGCGACGAUCCAUAGCUGGUCUGAGAGGAUGAUCAGCCACACUGGGACUAAGACACGGCCCAGACUCCUACGGGAGGCAGCAGUGGGGAAUAUUGGACAAUGGGCGAAAGCCUGAUCCAGCAAUGCCGCGUGAGUGAUGAAGGCCUUAGGGUUGUAAAGCUCUUUUACCCGGGAUGAUAAUGACAGUACCGGGAGAAUAAGCUCCGGCUAACUCCGUG
This 433-nucleotide ribosomal RNA is filed under the name uncultured bacterium. RNAcentral's name for it is "partial 16S ribosomal RNA". It matches the Rfam family "Bacterial small subunit ribosomal RNA", at positions 29 to 507 of the family's 1533-position model. The record is from RNAcentral.